UUGAAAGAGUUCGAGGUUUUUUGACUUUUUUCCUUUCUCUUUAGGCAAUCGCUUCCAACUUAAAGAACAAAAUGUUGCCGUGUUUUAUAUAUCUCUCCCCUCCCCCCCUCGCGAGUUGUUCAAAGAAUUCCUACACCUAAAUCACUGACCAUUGCCCAUUCCUCUCCGUGGAAGAGGGAUAUUUCACUAAAGCUAAACUGCUCGAGCGAGAAUCUUCCUCUUGCCCACCCCCUGACACCCAGAGAUCUUGAAUUUUCAAAAGAAAUGAAAAUCUGAGCUGUAUUUUUUCUUGCUUUCGUGUAUCUAGAAAGUGAAAUUCCCACCUAUGCUUUGGGGAGGGAGGAGGGGAAGGGGGGAGAAAAGAGUGAAAAAAGUGUGGAUAAGUGAUAUUUUGGAGCAAAAGCAUGCAGUUCAAAAGCUAAAGCUCCCAUUGGAGAACAGAAAAUUUAAUGAGCUUUUAAUGGAAUGCAAUGCUCAGAGUAGUAAAUUAUUUGUUAGUUGGCGAUGCAAUCAGCAUGCUGAUUAAGGUUGCUUGGUUUUUUUACUAAACAUUAACUGAAUCAAAACGGUUAGUCCUUGUUGUUCUGCUUGGGGGGCUUUCAUGGAGCAAAUGGACUUUCAGAGCAGAGAUUGUCAAUAAAGAUCUACAGUUCAGAUGAGGAUGGCAACCAGGACGCAUGGCACCUAGCUGAGAUACAGAACUCAAGGAGGAUCUGGGCCCUGAUCCUAAGAGGUGGAUCUAGUCUGCUGUAACUACUCAGGUCGAUUUGGGACCCAUCACAGGCCACAGUGGUUUUUUUGGACUCUAGGCUUCUCAAGCUUGAGUCCACUAGAAGGGCUUGUGGUCUGCAGCUGCUGUAGCCCACCACGAUGAUGUUGUCUCCAAGGGAACCAUUUUGUGAGACUCAAAAUAUUUAGAGUUUCUUUUUCUGCUUGCACUUGCACUGCAGCUUCUGGAAUGAUAGCACAGACUCAGUCACCAAAGAUUGAAAGUGGUUAUUGGCUCCUUCUUGGAAAGUGCUCUUACUAUAAAUAUUGAUAGAUGCUUUUCAACCAAUUAUUAGAGUUUUGUCAGUAGCGAUGAACUAAUAAAAAUGUGUAGGUAGCAUAUUCAUAUGGGAAGCUUAAUAUUCUUUUUUUUAGUUACUACAGGUGAAACAGUACUAUAUUUUGAAAUUUGCUUAAUUUAGCUCAUUGAUUAUUCUUAUAAUGUGCUUUACUGUGUUACUUCUUAAAAAAGAAAAACAACCUCCCCCUUGAUGAUUUCCAAUUUUAUCUUCUUUUGCUUAGCAGCUGUUGCUGCUGUUGAAGAACACAUCUGUCUCAGGAAGAGACUGUUUGAGAUCAUCCUCAAAUAAAUGGAACAUGGGGCUCUGCAAAAUGUAUCUUGCAACAGCAGAUGUAUCUGCCAGGUCGCUGCUCAGCAAUGUCCUUACUUAUUUGUAUUUACUCAAUACGGAUAACAUUUUUGUACAAGAUGUCUCAAUAUUUGCUGUUUAUAAUAUGAAAAGCUUUUGACAAACACAUCUGUCCUGUCACAUCAUCAAGUUGCUCUCCCCUUAGCCAAAAACAAUUAUGAUAUUUCCAGCUUAAAUGUCACAUAGCUGCUAGUCUCAUCCUGGGAGGAAGCAGACACUGCAACAUGCAAUUAAUACUGUUGACAUGAAAAGGGCCAUAAUAAAGAAAAAAAGUCAGCAUUCCAUUGAAGUUAUUUUAGAAGCUCAUUCUUUUUAUAGUGGUGUUGCAAGAACUCAGGUAUAGAAAAUACAUCCAAGAUAACAUGACUAUGUCAUUUUGCCUUGUAAAAUUUAAAAUGUAAAAUUUUGAGGAAGAAAAACAAAGCAUUUUUCCCCCAAGUCUUCUCUUUUUGAAGUCUAAGCAUAUAAUAUUUCCUGCAUUCUAUUCAUACUGAUUUUUAUUAUUUCUGUUUAGAUCCAUUUCUCUGUUCUUGUUCAUGUUUACAAGCAGAGUCAAUGUACAACAGGCUGCAAAAACCCACAUAAGAAUAGUUAGUAUAAUGUAAUCUCUGAGUGUGAUACCAUAACUACGGAUAUUAAAACAUUUAUGAAGUGGAGGUCAUUGUUUAUCCAUCUAUAAUUUUCUGACCCAAAUGGUUUGCAGACACUAAAGUGCUGUAGAGGAAGGGGAAGGAAGGGAAGAAGGAAAAUAAUGUAAUUUUGCUAUAUUUGUCUUGAUCUGCUCUUAUUUUUCUUAUAGGUACAGUAUGCAUGCUUUCCUAAUUAUAGAAUACAAAACUCAGCUCAAAUUCUGGAUGGAAAAAUAAUUUCUUAUUUUUGCAUAGUUGUAUUUCCUAGUGCCCAUAUAAUGACGUUUAAUAUAAUAGGUCUGGAGCCGAGACCAAUAUGUUAAGGAACUGUGGAGGGAUCAGAAAAGUAAACGGAAAAAAUCCUUUCCAGUGACAUGUCCACUAUGAAGAGUUUUCAGCCUCUGAAAAAGGAAAAUGAUCACAUACAGUGCAAGGAAAUCACACUGGACACACGGAAAAAAAAUAAAGAGGAGACUUCAAGCACUUUCAUCCUUAUUAAGACCCACCUCCAUAAUAAAGGAAUCAGGACAACAAGCAAAAAA
Pseudopipra pipra is the source of this 2589-nucleotide long non-coding RNA. RefSeq lists it as uncharacterized. The transcript has 2 exons. Lineage: Eukaryota; Metazoa; Chordata; Aves; Passeriformes; Pipridae. The record is from RefSeq and is a predicted model, not a curated record.